RNAcentral lists this ribosomal RNA (253 nucleotides) under uncultured bacterium. RNAcentral describes it as "partial 16S ribosomal RNA". It matches the Rfam family "Bacterial small subunit ribosomal RNA", at positions 524 to 776 of the family's 1533-position model. The record is from RNAcentral.
UACAGAGGGGGCAAGCGUUGUUCGGAAUUACUGGGCGUAAAGGGCGCGUAUGCGGCCUCUUAAGUCGAACGUGAAAUCCCCGGGCUCAACCCGGGAACUGCGUCCGAUACUGGGGGGCUUGAAUCCGGGAGAGGGAUGUGGAAUUCCAGGUGUAGCGGUGAAAUGCGUAGAUAUCUGGAGGAACACCGGUGGCGAAGGCGGCAUCCUGGACCGGUAUUGACGCUGAGGCGCGAAAGCCAGGGGAGCAAACGGG